This 567-nucleotide long non-coding RNA is filed under the name Eucalyptus grandis. RNAcentral's name for it is "long non-coding RNA (EGRA_LNC001434)". The record is from RNAcentral. Lineage: Eukaryota; Viridiplantae; Streptophyta; Magnoliopsida; Myrtales; Myrtaceae.
CUCUACAGCGGUUGUUAUUGUCGAGAUGCCACUCGUUGAGACAAAUCCCAGACUCGAUUGGAAAGUUGACAUCAUUGACAAAGGUGCAUUUGAAAUCUACGGCCAUUGAAGAAUUACCUGAAUCCAUUGGUUUUUUGAAUGAGCUCAAGACUCUAGAUGCCUCUCAUUGCAAAUCGUUAGCCCGCAUACCCAAUUCAAUAGGCAAUUCAACAUCUCUGUCUCGCCUUGACCUAACAGGAUGCCAUAAACUUGCUCAACUUCCGGACUCUAUUGGCUCUCUCGUGUCUCUACAGCAGUUGUUAUUGUCAGGAUGCCACUCGUUAAGACAAAUCCUAGACUCAAUUGGAAGGUUGACAUCAUUGACUGAGCUGCAUUUGAAAUCUACAGCCAUUGAAGAAUUACCUGAAUCCAUUGGUUCUUUGAAGAAGCUCAAGACUCUAGAUGCCUCUGAUUGCAAAUCGUUAGCCUGCAUACCCAAUUCAGUAGGCAAUUCAACAUCUCUGUCUCGCCUUGACCUAACAGGAUGCCAUAAACUUGCUCAACUUCCAGACUCUAUUGGCUCCCUCG